GUAAUGGUGUCUUUAGACACCACCUUUGUAUUUUAAAAUGUAUUC
Picea glauca (white spruce) is the source of this 45-nucleotide non-coding RNA. NCBI's taxonomy places the organism in Eukaryota, Viridiplantae, Streptophyta, Pinopsida, Pinales, Pinaceae. The record is from Rfam.